This 71-nucleotide transfer RNA is filed under the name Caudoviricetes sp. Its description in RNAcentral is "tRNA-Leu". It matches the Rfam family "tRNA". Rfam says of the family: Transfer RNA (tRNA) molecules are approximately 80 nucleotides in length. Lineage: Duplodnaviria; Heunggongvirae; Uroviricota; Caudoviricetes. The record is from RNAcentral.
UGGUUAGUAGCUUAAUGGUUAAAGCAACUUGUAAAAAGUAGAUUGAGGUUCGAUUCCUCACUAACUGUCAA